UACGUAGGUGGCAAGCGUUGUUCGGAAUUAUUGGGCGUAAAGGGCGCGUAGGCGGUUUGCUAAGUCAGUUGUGAAAGCCCGGGGCUCAACCCCGGAGGGUCGGCUGAUACUGGUGGACUAGAGUACGGAAGAGGUAGCUGGAAUUCCCGGUGUAGCGGUGAAAUGCGUAGAGAUCGGCAGGAACACCCAGGGGGAAACCAGCCGCCUGGGCAUCGACUGACGCUGAGGUGCGAGAGCGUGGGGAGCGAACCGG
RNAcentral lists this ribosomal RNA (253 nucleotides) under uncultured bacterium. Its description in RNAcentral is "partial 16S ribosomal RNA". It matches the Rfam family "Bacterial small subunit ribosomal RNA", at positions 524 to 776 of the family's 1533-position model. The record is from RNAcentral.